GGCGGUGGCGGUGGUGGCGGAGGAGGGUCGAAUUGCACUGACAACCACCGACGCUGUCAAGAGUGGGCCAAUCGCGGAGAAUGCAAGAAAAAUCCUCGUUACAUGCUAAUAUACUGCAAGAAGAGUUGCAAUGUGCAGUGUUAAAGAGAUUAAUCAGAUUAAAGAUACAAUGCAGCAA
This is a long non-coding RNA of Exaiptasia diaphana, 178 nucleotides long. RefSeq lists it as uncharacterized. The record is from RefSeq and is a predicted model, not a curated record. The transcript is spliced from 2 exons. NCBI's taxonomy places the organism in Eukaryota, Metazoa, Cnidaria, Anthozoa, Actiniaria, Aiptasiidae.